AGUAAAAAUGCAAAGGAAGGGAGAGGGAGCUCCUCCUACCUCAACUCCUGCUGGUCUCUGCACAGGGGAGGCCCUAAGGGGCGUGGGGUGCACUUAUAGAAGUGCUACAAUAGCAAAAACACCCCUGCAGACCAAACUGCACAAAAACUGCCUCCUUGUACCGGUACACGGGCUCUUGUACCGGUACAAGGCCCACGAAAAUGCAAACCCGAGGCUCGGGUCACGGGGUCUGCGGCUCUAUACCGGUACAAGCCCGAUGGCUGUACCCGUACAACCAUCAACCUUGUACCGGUACAAGACCAACCUUGUUCCGGUACAAGCUCUGUUGCAGGCUACCCGAGAGCCGACCAAAAAUUCCAGUUUCGGGAUUUUGGUGCCAAGUCUCAAUCCAACAUCCUCGGGAUGCGUGCCCAGGAGUCGGAACACUAUCAACGACCCUCCAAAAACUGUGGAGAGGCUCCACACACAGAUCAAACACUCGAAUCUUGCGAUUUGCAAGAUCCAGUGCAUUACAUUCACCCCUCCUGAAAAGGAGUUUCGUCCGCGAAACUCAAAAGCAAACGUCAUACCUCAAGACUCCAUCGGAAAAAGAUGGGGAUAGCGCUCCUGCAAAGCGCUCUCCAACUCCCACGUAGCCUCUCGCUCCUCGUGGUUGCUCCAAAGAACCUUCACAUACGGAAUAUCCCGAUUCCGAAGCUUUUUCACCUCGCGAGCCAAAAUCUUCACGGGUUGCUCCUUGAAGCUCAAAUCCUCAUGCAGCUCCACUGGUAUAGCUCCCAAAACAUGAGCUGGAUCAUGAAUAUACUUCCGAAGGACCGAUACAUGAAAGACGUUGUGCACGCCGGAUAGGUUCGGUGGUAGAGCAAGUCGAUACGCUACCGGACCUACACGCUCCAAGAUCUCAUACGGUCCAAUGAAACGGGGACUCAACUUUCCCCGAAUCCCAAAUCUUUUGAUUCCUCUAGUUCGCGAGACCUUCAAGAAAACAUGGUCUCCAACUUGGAACUCCAAGUCUCGCCGUCGUCAAUCGGCGUAGCUCCUCUGUCUACUCUGCGCCAUCAAAAGUCGCUCCCGAGCAAUUCGAAUCUUGUCCUCAGCUUCCUGGAGCACAUCAGGGCCUAAAGCCAAUCUCUCGCCGACUUCACUCCAAUGAAGUGGCGAUCUACACUUCCGUCCAUAAAGUGCUUCGAAGGGCGCCAUCUUGAUGCUUGCUUGAUAACUGUUGUUAUAAGUAAACUCCGCCAUAGGUAGAUGCUGCGACCAUCCUCCCUGGAAGUCUAUCACACAUGCCCGGAGCAUAUCCUCUAAAGUCUGAAUAGUGCGCUCCGACUGUCCAUCACUCUGCGGGUGGAAUGCUGUACUGAAAUCCAAUCGGGUGCCUAAGGCGUCCUGUAGACUCCUCCAAAAGUGAGACACGAAGCGCGUGUCGCGAUCAGAUACAAUCGAUGUAGGCACUCCAUGAAGUCGCACAAUCUCAUCAAGGUACACUUGUGCGAGCUUCUCUCCGGUCCAAGUCGUAUGAAUAGGUAUGAAGUGCGCCGACUUCGUCAACCUAUCCACGAUCACCCAAAUAGCGUCAUGCCCCGCCUGUGAGCGUGGCAAUCCUGUCACAAAGUCCAUGGUGAUCUUCUCCCACUUCCACACGGGAAUAGGCAAACUCUGAAGUUUUCCCGCGGGAACUCGGUGCUCAGCCUUUACUUGUUGGCAAGUUAGACAACGAGCUACAAACUCGCCAACGUCCUUUUUCAUCCCGGGCCACCAAUAAAGCAACUUUAGAUCCUUGUACAUCUUGGUGCCUCCCGGAUGUAUAGCAUACGGCGCUCGGUGCGCUUCUUGAAGAAUAUCUUCUUUAAUCCCCGAAUCCGCGGGUAUACAAAUCCGCCCACGGAAACGCAUCAAUCCCUGAUCGUCCAAAAGGAAGUCGCCGGUGCAACCAUCAACCAUUUUACCUCGAAUCUUUUGCAACUCCACAUCGGAAGCUUGCUUUUCUUUAAUUCUAUCCAAAAGAGUAGGUUGCACUACCAAAGUCAUCAAUCUCAAGGGUGUGUCAGGAGUCACCACCUCCAACUCCAACCGCUUCAUCUGCUCGAUCAACUGCGGUUGAGUCACAACAUGCAUCGCUAAGUUUUCCAUCGAUUUCCUACUUAGCGCAUCCGCCACCACGUUAGCCUUACCCGGGUGGUAAAGGAUCGUCAGAUCAUAAUCCUUGAGCAGCUCCAACCAUCUGCGCUGUCUCAGGUUCAACUCCUUUUGAGUAAAUAGGUAUUUCAAGCUCUUGUGAUCCGUGUACACUUCACACCGCUCGCCAUAAAGAUAGUGGCGCCAUAGCUUCAAUGCGAACACUACAGCCGCCAACUCCAAAUCAUGCGUAGGGUAGUUCUUUUCAUACUCCUUCAGUUGGCGAGAAGCAUACGCGAUCACCUUGCCAUCCUGCAUCAAUACACAGCCCAAACCAUUAAGUGAAGUAUCACUAUAAACCACAUACCCUGCUCCAGCUACUGGUAGGGUCAAGAUCGGGGCGGUAGUCAAUCGUUGCUUCAACUCUUGGAAGCUUCUCUCGCACGCAUCAUUCCAAAUGAACUUGACUCCUUUAUGCGUGAGCCUCGUAAGGGGAGUAGAUAACCUUGCAAAUCCCUCAACGAAUCUCCGGUAGUAACCGGCCAAUCUAAGGAAGCUCCGUAUCUCCGUGACGCUCGUCGGUCUCGGCCAAUCCUUGAUUGCUUCAAUCUUCUUAGGGUCCACGGCUAUACCCGAUCCAGAAAUCAAGUGUCCAAGAAAGGCUACCUCUCGGAGCCAAAAUUCACAUUUCUUCAACUUGGCAUAAAGCUCCUUUUUCCGAAGUACUUGGAGUACAAUCCUCAAUUGCUCCUCAUGAUCUGCAUCACUUCGAGAAUAGACCAAAAUAUCGUCGAUGAACACCACGACGAACCUGUCUAGAUAAGGCUUGAAAACACGGUUCAUUAGAUCCAUAAAAGCUGCCGGAGCAUUAGUAAGCCCGAAAGGCAUAACUGUGAACUCGUAAUGUCCAUACCGUAUUCUAAAAGCCGUCUUCGAUACAUCCUCAGGUUUGAUCUUCAAUUGGUGGUAUCCCGACUGUAAGUCUAUCUUGGAAUACACACACGAUCCCUGAAGCUGAUCAAACAAGUCGUCGAUCCUUGGCAACGGAUACUUGUUCUUGAUCGUGACUUUGUUAAGUUCACGAUAAUCCACACAAAGGCGAAGUGAUCCGUCUUUCUUCUUGACGAACAAAACUGGUGCUCCCCAAGGUGAAACGCUCCGGCGAAUAAAACCCUUGUCCAACAAAUCCUGCAGCUGUGCCCUCAGCUCCCUCAGCUCCGCCGGUGCCAUCCUAUAGGGCGCCUUUGAGAUUGGGGUAGUCCCAGGGACGAGAUCUACCACAAACUCAAUCUCCCUAUCAGGAGGCAUACCCGGUAGCUCAGCUGGAAACACAUCCUGAAACUCCCGCACCACCGGGAUAUCUUCGAUCCUAGGGGUAUCAUCCUCGCCCCUUAACACCACACUAGCCAAAUAGGCUACGCAACCUCUGCUGAUCAGCUGCCUAGCUCGAGACGAGCUGAUCGUCAUCGCAAACAGCGAACUCCGGCAUCCACAAAAUACCACCUCGGUCUGUCCCGGUUCUCUAAAAGUGACCAUGCGAUUCUUACAAUCAAUCGUGGCAUAAUACUUGGUCAACCAAUCCAUGCCCAAGACCACGUCAAAAUUCCUCAGCUUGCGCAAAGCUAGCAAAUCUAUAGGCAUGAUCCAAUCUCCUACCCGAAUAGGGCAACUGGGGCUAUACUCUCUAAUAUCCAAAAUAUGGUCGGGUACAACAACGUGUCCCGUAUGCAACAAAGAAACCAACGGGAUGCCAUGCAACUCGGCAAACAGCCGAUCUAUGAAUGAAUGCGAUGCACCGGUAUCAAAUAAAGCACGAACUCUAAUGCCAUCAAGCAAAAUAAUACCUGCAACCACAUCCUCGGCUGCUGCCGUCUCCUCGGUCUGAGCGGCGUAUAUGCGCCCACUCGGGGCUUGUCGAGAUCCCUCGCUCUGGCGCUGGACAGGUGGCCGCCCAGGCUGGUACUGUGUCGAUGGAGUCCCCUGGCUGGCGGCUGGUAGAGCCGGUGCCGAUGCAGUCGACGGUGCCGGUGAAGAACCUCUCGGGCACUCGGUACGCACGUGGCCCUCCUGGCCACACUGGAAACACCUGCCCGCCCGCUGUGGACACUGCGGUGGGUAAUGGGGACCACCGCAGAUCACACACGGGGAAGGCCGGCGCCGAUCGGAUCCUCCUCGCUGUGCUGCUGAGCCGCGUCCACGGUGCUGGCUCCUCAGAUGCUUCGGCGGCCUCCUAGAGUGCGUCUGGCUCGCACCCUCAGCCGCAGGCCUCUUGGCCUUCCCUCUGUCCCUAGCCUCACGCUGCUCCUGGACCUCUGUCGCGCCGCUCUCCACGAUGAGCGCGCGAUCCACCACCUCCCGGUAGGUUUGGAGGUUAGAGGAUUGCACAAACCGGAAGAUCGACGGUCGCAACCCUCGCUUGAAGAUGCGGGCCUUGUCCUCGUCAUCCCGCACGACGAAGGGCACGCAAUGCAGAAGCCGAGAGAACUCCCUCUCGUACUCGGCUACAGUCCUGUCACCCUGGCGCAAGCUACGCAAAUCCUGUUCCAUCUUCCUCUUGACGCUGGUUGGAAAGUAGUGCGCCAAACGAGGCUCCUUGAACCUCGUCCAAGUAAUGGCUGCCAAAUCUGUGCGGGGGUUCUGCUGGAGAUCCAACCACCAACGGUAGGCCUCGCCGUCCAAAUGGUGAGUGGCGAGCCAAACUCUGUCCCUCUCCUCCACGAAGGUGUCGCGGAAGAGCUUCUCCAUAUACAUCAACCACUUCUCCACGAUCCAGUGGUCGACUUUCUCGCCGUGGAAGACUCGGGGGCUGCACCUCCUAAACUCGUUGAGGCGCUCCAUCAGUCUAUCUCGCUCAGCCCCCCCAACCAAAAUAGGGAAUGCAGCUCCAACCGGGGGCCUCUGCACAGGCGGUGCUACCAAAACCUCCUCCUGGAGUGCGGCCGCAGUCGCCGCACGCGAAGAACUGGGCGCGGGGGACGGCGCUCUCGGUGCAACGUGCACAACUGGUGCUGGCGGUGUAGGGGCCUGAGUCUCCCUAGAAGCUGCCGCUUGCUGCAAUAGUAGAUCCUCCAGACGCUUCAUCCGCGCCUCCUGUCGGCGUGCCGCCUCAGUCUGCUGUCGGGCCACCUCCGCCUGCUGAGUGACCAAAUCAGUGAGGGCCGCAAGCUGGCCCCUCAGCUCACGGACCUCGCUGGAUCCGGAGGUAGCGGAGGUCUCGACCUCCUCGAAGUUUGCCGCAUUGUCGGCCCCGGCAGAUUGGGAGCGAGUAAUCGGCAUCGUCACUACAACAUCAUAAAAACGCAAGUUAGAAAUACUCACGCUAUCGCAUCCCCGCUCAAAAGACAAACCCCAAAUCAUGCGAAAGUAAGGAAGUGUUAUCCACAACUAAUUCCAGAUGUUACGUUGUCGGCCGCCAACGUAACCCUCCGCGAAGUUAGAAGCCAAACACUCCAAUCAACUCUAACUUUUUAGAGUUAUCAUAAUACCCAAUCAUGAUACUUUCGCUCACAAGUCGAAUAGACCUCGUCUCUCACGAGCCUAUUUUCUAUAGUCCAACCGGCCUAAGGUUUGCUAGGUCCCCUAAGACAUAACCCUAGGCUCUGAUACCAAAUUAAUCUGUCACGCCCCAGGACCCGGCGGAAGCCCGCCCGGCACGUGCCCAGACCCGCCAUACGUCUAAAACAUAUAAGGCGUCUAAAAACAACAAUAAUAGAAGUAAUAGUAAAAGACAUCUAGGAGUAUCAGAGCAUAGUAAAUGUCUAAAUGCUACAACAAAGGAUAAGGAUGAAACUGUAAAUUCACUAAAUAAGACAUAAAGUGAUACAAGUGCUAUAGGUAGAUACAUAGGUGGUCUCUAUACAUGGAUACAAAACCUCUCACUCUCUCAACUGCAAAAAGAAAGAGUAAACCACCUAGGCAAAGUGCCACUCCUCGCUAGCUAGCUAAGCGAUCCCCUUGCCGCGAUCCCGUGCCUCCGCCGGUGCCGAAGGCUCUGAAAAGUAAACAAUAAAACGGGGGCGUGAGAAUUAUUAAAAAUAGUUUCUAGUGGGCAAUUACUGACUUCAGUGAAUGCACCACGACGCCCAAAGUUACAAAAGAUGUUAGUGACUAUAAAAGUAGAAAAGCGAAAUGUAAGUAAAAAUGUAACUUACUACAACAUGAUAUCUCUACUUAGCAUAAUUAGCAUAAGUAUGAAGCAACUAUGCAUAAAGUAAAAGUCUCCAACUAUCAUAAUGCUCACAAUGCGAAAUAGUAAAGUUCCGUUGUUUACUAUUCUAGUCAAUGUCCAAGUAGUACACUAAGUCAUCAUCUGUCCACAUGUCAUAGUGAAUACUCAAAGUCAAAUCUGAAGAGACCCACCCGAAGGCUGUCUAUGGCCCUGAGACCCACCCGUAGGCUGUCUGGCCGGUGCCGAGCCUAAUGGCCCCGUGGUAGUCAUCAUCCCCACCCUAGGAAUGAGCCUGUCCCACGGCAAUCCAUUUCGGCGCCCAAUCCCGCACGGCGAAUAUGAUUCGCGAUGGCUAUCUCCGGAGUGCCGGCUUGUAGGGAGCAACCCUCACAAGCAUGUGCGAAUGAGUACAAUGGCAAGUAGUCAAACGAUCUGUCGCAAGUACCAAGUCCUCAUGUCUAAUAACAUGGAAUGUGUCAAGUAUCUCAAUGGCCUAUCCCUAUGUCAUCAUGUCUCUAACAUGGAAUAUAGCAGAUAUAUAGUGGCCUAUCAAUAUGUCUCAAUGUUGCAGUUUCAUAGUUUACUAGUUUCAAGUGCCCCUUGAUGACACUCUUGUUCUCUAUGUCAAAGCAUGGCAACUAUAUUCCAAAGUACAUAUUCUAAGUCAUAAUCCUCAUAAGAGAUGUAUUUUCCACUUGCAAAAUAAACACUUUACUCGUAUGCAUGCAUUCUACUCAUAUAGCUCUACUAUAUAGCGAAAUUUUCAUAAUACACAAGGCAUGCAUUUUAAGUGUUCUAAAAUUCAUAUAAAUUCUAUUUAAUAUAGAAAUUAAUUUAAAAAUAUUUUACAACAAGUAGAAAGAGUAUAGGGGUCAUUUCGUCCCAUUUCCAUGAAGCCAAACCCACCGAUUUUUCGAACUCUUCGUUUCGCCGAACGAAGGUAUCCACAAGCCUCCUAGAACCCUAAGGAUAUAGGAACAAGGGUUACUCGAAUGAAACGAACAACCAAAAGCUCAAACACUAACCAUCUCUUACUAAGGGCCAAAAACUCACCUCUUAUGGAAAAUCUCUUCAUAAGCUCAAAAAGGAGGCUAGAACCCUUCCAAACCAACCAAAAGGAAGCCUCUAAUCCACUCAAUCUAGCUUCAAAAGCCCUAGAUCCAAAAUGCCCAAAUUAAGCCCUAAAAUCUCAUUCUAGGGUUUGAUCUCACAAAAAUCUCAAAUCAAGGAUCAAAGGGAGAAAUCAAGUCUCUAACCUCUCAAGAAGCUCCAAACUUAGCUCCAAACUUAGCUCCAAUCCAAGUGAUGUUGGAGGUCUCCGCAGCCACUAGUUCCUCUCCGAGCUCUAAGCCAUCAACAAUGGUGGAGAAGCCACCAAGAUGCAAAUAGAGGAGAGAAAACCCAAUAAAAACCAAGCAAAAUGAGUAAAAAUGCAAAGGAAGGGAGAGGGAGCUCCUCCUACCUCAACUCCUGCUAGUCUCUGCACAGGGGAGGCCCUAAGGGGCGUGGGGUGCACUUAUAGAAGUGCUACAAUAGCAAAAACACCCCUGCAGACCAAACUGCACAAAAACUGCCUCCUUGUACCGGUACACGGGCUCUUGUACCGGACAAGGCCCACGAAAAUGCAAACCCGAGGCUCGGGUCGCAAGGUCUGCGGCUCUGUACCGGUACAAGCCCGAUGGCUGUACC
Molecule: long non-coding RNA, 7975 nt
Filed under: Ananas comosus (pineapple)
Lineage: Eukaryota; Viridiplantae; Streptophyta; Magnoliopsida; Poales; Bromeliaceae
Description: long non-coding RNA (ACOM_LNC003604)
Source: RNAcentral